This 244-nucleotide ribosomal RNA is filed under the name uncultured bacterium. RNAcentral describes it as "partial 16S ribosomal RNA". It matches the Rfam family "Bacterial small subunit ribosomal RNA", at positions 96 to 334 of the family's 1533-position model. The record is from RNAcentral.
CGGCGAACGGGUGAGUAACACGUGGGUAAUCAACCCUCGAUACUGGGAUAGCCCGGGGAAACCCGGAUUAAUACCGGAUGGCCCUUUGGAUCCUCGGAUCUGACGGAAAAGGUAGCUUCGGCCUCCGAUCGAGGACGAGCCCGCGGCGGAUUAGCUUGUUGGUGGGGUAACGGCUCACCAAGGCGACGAUCCGUAGCUGGUCUGAGAGGACGAUCAGCCACACUGGGACUGAGACGCGGCCCAG